Panicum virgatum (switchgrass) is the source of this 934-nucleotide long non-coding RNA. RefSeq lists it as uncharacterized. Lineage: Eukaryota; Viridiplantae; Streptophyta; Magnoliopsida; Poales; Poaceae. The record is from RefSeq and is a predicted model, not a curated record. The transcript has 3 exons.
ACAGUUGGGGUUCAGCGGUACUUGCAGUCACGUACCGUGGCCUCUGCAAGGCAUCGGUGCAAAAUAAGCACAAUGCAAUUCUUACAGGAUGUCCGAUUCUGCUACAGCUUUGGUCGUACGAGAGGAUAGCAAUUGGUCGCCCGCUUGUCGACCAAUCACCAUAUGAGCUGGAUAUGUACGGUGACACCGAGGACGAUAGGCCCACCAUGGGGACUCUCUGGUACGCUCGUCAGAAGAGAUGGGCCCACAUACAGUCUCGUCAGGCCUAUCCUGAUUUUGUGGCUGAGUUUGAUCGGUUGACACCUGAAGACGUCGUGUGGGAGCCCUACUCCGAGUUGGCUAUAAACACUCGUGCACCGAUCGGGAUAUCUUCGGUUUGCUUUCAGGACCUGGCCUUUUGCAUGACAACUACAGCAUUGGUGUACGACGUUUACAUUGAGGCUCACUGCCCGGACAGAGUCAGGAGACAGUUCGGUCAAAGGCAGUUGUAUCCUGUGCCGUCAGCAUUGGAUCGGGUCGAACGCCAUGACCACAGUUAACAAUUCAUAUACUACUUCAGUGACUAUGCAUUGUAUACUUAACUAAUCAUAUUUGACUAAAUUGUUUUCAAAAUUUAGUUUGUCGAGGACUGGGCAACUCUUCUCCAACAUGUGGGUGACAAGGGUGAAGCCUUGGGUCGAUGGCUGGGACCAGGCAGAGGAGAACGUGGCGCUUGCGACCCCUGCACACACGGAGGCUUCGUACAUGGCGUACCUGAGCUGGUAACAGCCUCAGACUCGUUGCCGCUUGAUAUAUGCUGACAUGCAACCACAGCCGCAUGUUGCGACAGCACAGGAUGGCUACGCACGACAUAGGGAUGAGGCAUUAGCUGGGGCGUUUGAAAUGUGUAGGUUGAUGGACGUAGAUGCCAGGGCGAAUUUGAUGAGGAUUCGAG